UAUUUAAAAGCGCCUGGACUAACCAAAGAGAGUUGGUUAGUUGACGAGGAGGAGGUUUAUCGAAGGUUUCGGCGGAUACCUCCCGGUUGAACGCACAACCGAAAUUUUUUCCUUAAAACACAAAGGUAACUUUGUGCACAAAGGGGAAGAA
RNAcentral lists this non-coding RNA (151 nucleotides) under uncultured Neobacillus sp. Its description in RNAcentral is "glmS glucosamine-6-phosphate activated ribozyme". It matches the Rfam family "glmS glucosamine-6-phosphate activated ribozyme aptamer". Rfam says of the family: This entry contains a glucosamine-6-phosphate activated ribozyme that is found in the mRNA for GlmS. GlmS is an enzyme that uses fructose-6-phosphate and glutamine to generate glucosamine-6-phosphate. The ribozyme catalyses self cleavage of the glmS mRNA that is thought to regulate GlmS activity. The record is from RNAcentral. Lineage: Bacteria; Bacillati; Bacillota; Bacilli; Caryophanales; Bacillaceae.